RNAcentral lists this ribosomal RNA (259 nucleotides) under uncultured bacterium. RNAcentral describes it as "partial 16S ribosomal RNA". It matches the Rfam family "Bacterial small subunit ribosomal RNA", at positions 524 to 779 of the family's 1533-position model. The record is from RNAcentral.
UACAGAGGUCCCGAGCGUUGUUCGGAUUCAUUGGGCGUAAAGGGUGCGCAGGCGGCGGGGUAAGUCUGAUGUGAAAUCCUGGAGCUCAACUCCAGAACUGCCUUUGAUACUGAGAGCCUUGAGUUCGGGAGAGGUGAGUGGAACUGCGAGUGUAGAGGUGAAAUUCGUAGAUAUUCGGAAGAACACCAGUGGCGAAGGCGGCCCGCUGGACAUGUAUUGACGCUGAGGUGGCGAAAGCGAUGGGGAGCAAACAGGGAUU